UACGAACCGUCCAAACGUUAUUCGGAAUCACUGGGCUUAAAGGGUACGUAGGCGGCGCUGUCAGUCGGGUGUGAAAUCCCACGGCUCAACCGGGGAACUGCGUCCGAUACUGGUGGGCUCGAAUCCGGGAGAGGGAUGUGGAAUUCCAGGUGUAGCGGUGAAAUGCGUAGAUAUCUGGAGGAACACCGGUGGCGAAGGCGGCAUCCUGGACCGGUAUUGACGCUGAUGCGCGAAAGCCAGGGGAGCAAACGGG
Molecule: ribosomal RNA, 253 nt
Filed under: uncultured bacterium
Lineage: Bacteria
Description: partial 16S ribosomal RNA
Rfam family: Bacterial small subunit ribosomal RNA
Source: RNAcentral